This 223-nucleotide ribosomal RNA is filed under the name uncultured bacterium. Its description in RNAcentral is "partial 16S ribosomal RNA". It matches the Rfam family "Bacterial small subunit ribosomal RNA", at positions 328 to 539 of the family's 1533-position model. The record is from RNAcentral.
ACGCUCGACACCUACGGGAGGCAGCAGUAGGGAAUCUUCCACAAUGGGCGCAAGCCUGAUGGAGCAACACCGCGUGAGUGAAGAAGGGUUUCGGCUCGUAAAGCUCUGUUGUUGGAGAAGAACGUGCGUGAGAGUAACUGUUCACGCAGUGACGGUAUCCAACCAGAAAGUCACGGCUAACUACGUACCAGCAGCCGCGGUAAUCUGAGCGGGCUGGCAAGGC